RNAcentral lists this ribosomal RNA (159 nucleotides) under uncultured bacterium. Its description in RNAcentral is "partial 16S ribosomal RNA". It matches the Rfam family "Bacterial small subunit ribosomal RNA", at positions 1334 to 1500 of the family's 1533-position model. The record is from RNAcentral.
GCUAGUAAUCGCGCAUCAGCCAUGGCGCGGUGAAUACGUUCCCGGGCCUUGUACACACCGCCCGUCAAGCCAUGGGAGCCGGGGGUGCUUGAAGUGCGUCGCCGCAAGGCGCGCCCUAGAGCAAAACCGGUGACUGGGGCUAAGUCGUAACAAGGUAGC